AUUACGAUAUACAUUUCAGGCUAAAGGGCAUCUUCAAUGGUGCACCAAAUUUGGGGUAACGCUAAUAAUUUGGUAUAAAAUUUGGUGGAAUUCAUUAUUCCCAUAUUGCCCUUCAUUUUCUAUUACAACAAAUUGUUGUUCCUUCUAUAUUAUUUCUUUAUCCUUUUAGAAUUAACAGAGAAUUUAUUUAUAUUUGUUUUAAUGUGAUUAUUAUUUUUAUCUAACAUUUAUUUUUAAACGCU
This 242-nucleotide long non-coding RNA is filed under the name Olea europaea (common olive). RNAcentral's name for it is "long non-coding RNA (OEUR_LNC007541)". Lineage: Eukaryota; Viridiplantae; Streptophyta; Magnoliopsida; Lamiales; Oleaceae. The record is from RNAcentral.